Molecule: long non-coding RNA, 2605 nt
Organism: Lutra lutra (Eurasian river otter)
Lineage: Eukaryota; Metazoa; Chordata; Mammalia; Carnivora; Mustelidae
Exons: 7
Source: RefSeq, a predicted model, not a curated record
CAGCUCAGAGAGGAGAAGUGGUUGGAUGUGAACCUGAAGAUGCUGAGGCCUGUCCUGCCCCUUUUCAGGAAGACCCCGUCCACCAGCCGCAUGGAGGACAGCAGGGCCAGGAGAUGGGGAAUCCAGAGAAAGUUAUUCACCUACAGGACCCAGCUGGGCAUGUCUCUGGAUUUCUAAGUCCAGAAGUUCAGAACCUGAAAUGGACCAUCCAUGGUAUGUUCCUUCCGGAGGCUCCAAGGAAGAAUCCAUUUCCCUGCCUUUUCCAGCUUCUGGAGGCCCCCGGCAACCUGGCUCUGUGGCCCCACAUCACUCCGACCUCGGCUUCCACCAUCACAUCUGCUUCUCUGACUCUGACCCGCCUGUCCCCUCCCUCUGACAACCUAGGUAAUCCAGGGCCAUCUCCUGAUCUCGAGACUUAAGCCCAUUUACAGAGGCCCUUUUGCCCAGUGAGGACUGGUCGUGGCAGCCAGCUUUCCCAGCGGAUCUGGGGCUUCAGAGGAACUUCCCAGAACCUGCUUCCUUCCAGAUGCAAUUUGGGGAGAGUGAACUGAGUCUAAAAUGUUACCCACCUCCUGCGUAUAAUGAAACCAGCUGGAGAGAGGCACAUGUGUUGCUUGGAGUCCCCUGGGCACAUUAAACCAUGUUCUUACUAAUAGGAACCAGCACCCCAUUGAAACACCAAUGGAACAUUUUCUCCCCUGAGGGCACCUGAGCAGUUCUGGAGGGUGGGGCUGUUGCUGUGGGCUUCUGGUAGCUGUGGUUCCUAAUGAGCCUCGAGGCUCUUUAGGAAUGGGAUCUACCUAAUUCUCCCAGGAUGGGCCAUGGAGGAGGGCACGUUGACCAAAGAAUGCCAACGACAUCGUCACCAGAACUUCUGUAUGUUUUCACGAAGACUGUAAAGUUUCUGAACAGGGGAAAGGAGACUCGACAAUCAACAGGGUCCUUUGCUAUCGGCAACAGAAGGAGACUGUGAAUAAGGAUAGACAUUAUGGAGAUGCUCAGAAGAUGGAAGGAAAGACUAGAAAAUGAGGUUUGGGGGAAAAAAAUCAAGUUGUGCAGAUCCAGUGGGGUGGGGGGGUCUCAGUAGCAAAACCCACCUGACAGUCUGAUCUGGGAACCGGAGCUGCAAUGAAUUACCUCUGUCUUCCCUCAGGGUUCUUUUCAUCAGAUCCCGCCAUUUGGAACACUUUCUCAGUUUUUGCCCAGCUAACUGUGUCAGGCUCACCUUGUCCUUUUCCUGUCCUGACCCUAGAUUCGGCCAUUUCUCAAGGAGCUCUGGUUGCUUUUUGUGGGGAAUGGUGUUUAGACCCCAAGACGGAGAGUAAGAUGCAUGCUGUGCUGCCACGCUGUCCCCACUUCUUGGCCUCCCAGUGGACAGAGCAUCCACAUGUGCCUGCGCGCAUGCGUGUGUGUGUGUGUGUGUGUGUGUCCCCAUGUCUAAUCUAAUGGGACUCUGUACCGAUGUCUUCAUGCCGGCCUGAUGCCACAGGGCUCCCCGUUGCCAUUCUGCAUCCCGUGUUGGUGUCUCCCGCUUCUCCCUCAGUGGGAACCCAGGCUUUCAGCACAGCCAAAAUAUUUACUCAUUUGUUUAACCCUGCAACACACACAAAAUCAUUUCCGAAUUGUCAUCUCCAAACCACUACAACAGCCUCUCUACAAAACAGAAUUCAGGAUUCAUUUGCGGUCCUUUCGGGUCAUUGAACUGAGGGUCCCUAGUCCAGGUGCUAGGUUCAGAAGAUUCCGAAAGACUGUAUGAAAACAGUAUUUUCAGUAGAAGGCCCUUGCUCUCCAGUCACUUCCACCACGACCCCCACCCCCACCCCACCAGGGCCAUUAGUCUUUGGUCAUCAGACCUGUACAUCUUCUUUCAAAAAUAAGCUGGACAGAUGAUGCUAAAAAUACCCAUGAGUGUCCUCACUGACAGACCCUAGUUCCAGGAGGCCCCGGGGCCCUCUGCCUCAGUGACUCACCAGCUGAUCUGGGGAAGCGGCACUGCCCGGAAGCGCUUGGCUUGCAGCAGCGUUGACGGACUCUGAGUGGAGAGUGCCCGCAGUGGAUUCCAGACCUUCACAAGACAUCCCGGAGAAUAUUGCUUGGAGGAGGCCUGAAACAAAGGGAGGUUCACUAUAUCACACUUGGAGAGGACAGCUGGUUGCCCAGACCCCAGCUACCGGCACCCCACCUCCCACGUGGUCCCGCCUUCGCCAAGAGCCAGCUGCAGAGGCCUCUGUCUGCCUGUUCCCCUCAGGCGUCUGCACCUGCUGUUUCCUGCACCUGGAAUAAUCCUCCCAGAGGUGUCCUGAGGUUGGGUCACUCUUGUCAGUCAACUCCAAUGCCACGUCUUCGGAAAGGCUCUUCCUGACUUUCUCUGCUCAGAAAUUUGUCUGCUCAGGUUCCCGGGACAAGAUGCCACAGAAUGGGGGGCCUGAACCCCAGAAAUUUCUUGCUUGUGGUUCUGGAGACUAGAAGUCUGAGAUCAGGAGCCCCACAGGAUGUGUCUCUGAUGUGUGUGUGUGUGUGUGUGUGUCUUCAUCUCCUCUUCUUAGAAGGACACCAUCAUUUUGAAUUAGGGCCCACUCGAGUGACUCACUGGAAUUUCAGUAUC